CGGGGAAUUUUGGGCAAUGGCCGCAAGGCUGACCCAGCGACGCCGCGUGCGGGAGGACGCCUUUCGGGGUGUAAACCGCUGUCAGGGGGGACGAACCGCCGGACGUCGAACAGGCUUACGGUCUGACGGUACCCUCAAAGGAAGCGCCGGCUAACUCCGUGCCAGCAGCCGCGGUAAGACGGAGGGCGCAAGCGUUGUUCGGAAUCACUGGGCGUAAAGCGCGCGCAGGCGGUAUGUCAAGUCAGGGGUGAAAGGCCUGGGCUCAACCCAGGAAUUGCCUUUGAAACUGGCAAACUAGAGUCCGAAAGAGGAUGGCGGAAUUCCCAGUGUAGAGGUGAAAUUCGUAGAUAUUGGGAAGAACACCGGUGGCGAAGGCGGCCAUCUGGAUCGGCACUGACGCUGAGGCGCGAAAGCGUGGGGAGCAA
This 425-nucleotide ribosomal RNA is filed under the name uncultured bacterium. Its description in RNAcentral is "bacterial SSU rRNA". It matches the Rfam family "Bacterial small subunit ribosomal RNA", at positions 355 to 771 of the family's 1533-position model. The record is from RNAcentral.